Long non-coding RNA from Dreissena polymorpha, 946 nucleotides. RefSeq lists it as uncharacterized. The record is from RefSeq and is a predicted model, not a curated record. The transcript has 5 exons. Lineage: Eukaryota; Metazoa; Mollusca; Bivalvia; Myida; Dreissenidae.
GAAAGUAAAAAAUUCGAAGGCCAAUAUUUUGCAGAAAGAAGGCAGAUUCACUUGAAAUUUAGCUUAUAAUAAAUCAAUUAUUGUGUUUUUUAAUAAAUCCUAACCAUUUGAAUCAGGUAUAUGCGCGUGAAAUAAUAUAUAUUUAUUUAUUUCCAACACCACUAUUCCUGUGCAGUAGAGUUACUCCCCUUUACGCGGAAUUAUUACAUUGUUGUUACGGUGAAUUCGGGAGCGAUCUUUUGAGCAGUUUUAUGGAUAUCCGUACGAUAAACACAGUAUUUGUUUGGCAGGAAGAGAAAUCGUCUCAUUUGGUAUCGAUGCAGAGAACAUGACUGACAAAGAUCUAUUGGACAGUGAUUAUGAUGGGAUUUCACAAAUACAUGAGCACAGUUACAUUGUGAUAUCGGACUCUGACGAGACACAACCACCUUCACCUUUUGGUUGACAGGAAUAUUCCAGUGAAAGAUCAGUUGUUUAAAAGCCUUUUUGACAAACAAAUUCCUGGUGCUGCCAUUCCUAAUCAACCGACAUAUCAGAAUUUUGGAUAAGAAUUCAGAUUACUGGCUGCAUAUUCAACCGAAUUUUUGGGUCCUGGGUUGGUGGGGGGUAACGUGUUUCAGACCAGAAUCCUGCCGGACCAUCCAAUUGCAAGGACAUCUUACAUAGCUGAAAUGUAUCUGUAAUGAAUUAUUAAAAGUUUGGAUAAAAAAUGUGUUCUUAAAUCAUUAUUUUAAACAAAUUAUACACCCAGGUUGACUAUUUUGAAAAAAUGAAAAAUGACAAUUUUUACACAUGGGAUUUUUCAAUGUUUCCGCAUUCACUAACAUUACUUUAGACAAUGUAAGAUAGACAAACCAUACAUAUUUGGAAAUGGUUUACUAAUAUCUAUCAGAAAAUGUAUAAUUUUACUGGGUUUAUGUCAAUUUUCAAAAUCAGUGGUUAUUGC